RNAcentral lists this long non-coding RNA (6338 nucleotides) under Xyrichtys novacula (pearly razorfish). Lineage: Eukaryota; Metazoa; Chordata; Actinopteri; Labriformes; Labridae. The record is from RNAcentral.
UUGGCAUUAGGGUUAAAAUCACUAUCCGAAACCUUUGUAGGAACUCUUUUCCAACAGUUCGGAGUUAGUUAGACCAAAAAAAAAAUGAAAAAUGAAAUAAAAAAUAUUUGGGGUGUUCAGGCUUCCUGAAGGUAAUACCCGGGUAUUAGGUUAUGGGGCUUAGGAAAAGUUUAAGGUUUUUGGCAUUAGGGUUAAAAUCACUGCCCAAAACCUUUGUAGGAACUCUUUUCCAACCUUUUGGAGUCAGUUAGACCAAAAAAAAAAGAAAAAUGAAAAAAAAAAUAUUAUGGGUUUUCAGCCUUCCUGGAGGUAAUACCCGGGUAUUAGGUUAUGGGGCUAUGGUAAGGUUUAAGGUUUUUGGCGAUAGGGUUAAACUAACUUUCCAAAACCUUUUUAGGAACAUGUUUCAGACCUUUUGGAGUUGGUUACACCAAAAAAAAAAUGUAAAAUGAAAAAAAAAUAUUUGGGGUGUUCGGGCUUCCUGAAGGUAAUACCCAGGUUAUGGGGCUAUGGUAAGGGUUCAGUUUUUUGGCGUUAGGGUUAAAAUUAUUGUCCAAAACCUUUGUAGGAACUCUUUUCCAACCUUUUGGAGUUAGUUAGACCAAAAAAAAAAGAAAAAUGAAAAAAAAAUAUUUGGGGUUUUCGGGCUUCCUGAAGGUAAUACCUGGGUAUUAGGUUAUGGGGCUUAGGAAAGGUUUAAGGUUUUUGGCGUUAGGGUUAAAAUCACUGUCCAAAAACCUUUGCAGGAACUCUUUUCCAACCUUUUGGAGUUAGGUAGACCAAAAAAAAAAGAAAAAAGAAAAAAAAAUAUUUGGGGUUUUCCGGCUUCCUGAAGGUAAUACCCGGGUAUUAGGUUUUGGUGCUAGGGUAAGGUUUCAGGUUUUUGGCGUUAGGGUUAAAAUGACUGUCCAAAACCUUUUUAGGAACAUGUUUCAGAUCUUUUGCAGUUGGUUAAACCAAAAAAAAAAAGUAAAAUGAAAAAAAAAUAUUUGGGGUGUUCAGGCUUCCUGAAGGUAAUACCCGGGUAUUAGGUUAUGGGGCUAUAGUAAGGUUUAAGGUUUUUGAAGUUAGGGUUAAAAUAACUGUCCAAAACCUUUGUAGGAACUCUUUUCCAACCUUUUGGAGUUAGGUAGACCAAAAAAAAAAGAAAAAGAAAAAAAAAAUAUUUGGGGUGUUCGGGCUUCCUGAAGGUAAUAGGAAAUUGGAAAGGUUUAAGGUUUUUGGCGUUAGGGUUAAAAUCACUGUCCAAAAACCUUUGUAGGAACCCUUUUCCAAGAAAAAUGAAAAAAAAAUAUUUGGGGUGUUCGGGCUUCCUGAAGGUAAUAGGAAUAGGAAAGGUUUAAGGUUUUUGGCGUUAGGGUUAAAAUUACUGUCCAAAAACCUUUGUAGGAACUCUUUUCCAACCUUUUGGAGUUAGGUAGACCAAAAAAAAAAGAAAAACGAAAAAAAAAUAUUUGGGGUGUUCGGGCUUCCUGAAGGUAAUACCCGGUUAUUAGGUUUUGGGGCUAGGGUAAGGUUUGAGGUUUUUGGCAUUAGGGUUAAAAUCACUGUCCAAAACCUUUUAGGAACAUGUUUCAGACCUUUUGGAGUUUGUACACCAAAAAAAAAAAUGUAAAAUGAAAAAAAAAAUAUUGGGGGUGUUCGGGCUUCCUGAAGGUAAUACCCGGGUAUCAGGUUAUGGGACUAUGGUAAGGUUUAAGGUUUUUGGCGUUAGGGUUAAAAUCACUGUCCAAAACCUUUGUAGGAACUCUUUUCCAACCUUUUGGAGGCAGUUAGACCAAUAAAAAAUAAAAAAAAUAAAAAAAAAUUAUUUGGGGUGUUCGGGCUUCCUGAAGGUAAUACCCGGGUAUUAGAUUAUGGGGCUAUGGUAAGGUUUAAGGUUUUUGGUGAUAGGGUUAAAAUCACUGUCCAAAACCUUUGUAGGAACUCUUUUCCAACCUUUUUGAGUCAGUUAGACCAAAAAAAAAUUAAAAAUGAAAAAAAAAUAUUUGGGGUGUUUGGGCUUCCUGAAGGUAAUACCCUAAUAUUACGUUAUGGGGCUAUGGUAAGGUUUAAGGUUUUUGGCGAUAGGGUUAAACUAACUGUCCAAAACCUUUUUAGGAACAUGUUUCAGACCUUUUGGAGUUGGUUAUACCAAAAAAAAAAUGAAAAAUGAAAAAAAAAUAUUUGGGGUUUUCGGGCUUCCUGAAGGUAAUACCCGGGUAUUAGGUUUUUGGGCUAGGGUAAGGUUUGAGGUUUUUGGCGUUAGGGUUAAAAUCACUGUCCAACACCUUUUAAGGAACAUGUUUCAGACCUUUUGCAGUUGGUUAAACCAAAAAAAAAAAGUAAAAUGAAAAAAAAAUAUUUGGGGUGUUCGGGCUUCCUGAAGGUAAUACCCGGGUAUAAGGUUAUGGGGCUAUGGUAAGGUUUAAGGUUUUUGACGUUAGGGUGAAAAUAACUGUCCAAAACCUUUGUAGGAACUCUUUUCCAACCUUAUGGAGUUCGUUAGACCAAAAAAAAAAGAAAAAUGAAAAAAAAAUAUUUGGGGUGUUCGGGCUUCCUGAAGGUAAUAGGAAAUAGGAAAGGUUUAAGGUUUUUGGCGUUAGGGGUAAAAUCACUGUCCAAAAACCUUUGUAGGAACUCUUUUCCAAGAAAAAUGAAAAAAAAAUAUUUGGGGUGUUCGGGCUUCCUGAAGGUAAUAGGAAUAGGAAAGGUUUUAGGUUUUUGGCGUUAGGGUUAAAAUCACUGUCCAAAAACCUUUGUAGGAACUCUUUUCCAACCUUUUGGAGUUAGGUAGACCAAAAAAAAAAGAAAAACGAAAAAAAAAUAUUUGGGGUGUUCGGGCUUCCUGAAGGUAAUACCCAGGUAUUAGGGUUUUGGGGCUAGGGUAAGGUUUGAGGUUUUUGGCAUUAGGGUUAAAAUCACUGUCCAAAACCUUUUUAGGGACAUGUUUCAGACCUUUUGGAGUUUGUACACCAAAAGAAAAAUGUAAAAUGAAAAAAAAAUAUUUGGGGUGUUCUGGCUUCCUGAAGGUAGUACCCGGGUAUCAGGUUAUGGGGCUAUGGUAAGGUUUAAGGUUUUUGGCGUUACGGUUAAAAUUACUGUCCAAAACCUUUGUAGGAACUCUUUUCCAACCUUUUGGAGUCAGUAUGACCAAAAAAAAAAAUAAAAAAAAAUAAAAAAAAAUAUUUGGGGUGUUCGGGCUUCCUGAAGGUAAUACCCGGGUAUUAGGUUAUGGGGCUAUGGUAAGGGUUCAGUUUUUUGGCAUUAGGGUUAAAAUUAUUGUCCAAAACCUUUGGAGGAACUCUUUUCCAACCUUUUGGAGUUAGUUAGACCAAAAAAAAAAGAAAAAUGAAAAAAAAAUAUUUGGGGUUUUCGGGCUUCCUGAAGGCAAUACCCGGGAAUCAGUUUCUGGGGCUUUGGAAAGGUUUAAGGUUUUUGGCGUUAGGGUUAAAAUCACUGUCCAAAACCUCUGUAGGAACUCUUUUCCAAGCUUUUGGAGUUAGUUAGACCAAAAAAAAAUGAAAAAUGAAAAAAAAAAUAUUUGGGGUGUUCGGGCUUCCUGAAGGUAAUACCCAGGUAUUAGGUUAUGGGGCUAGGGUAAGGUUUUAGGUUUUUGGCGUUAGGGUUAAAAUUAUUGUCCAAAACCUUUGUAGGAACUCUUUUCCAAGCUUUUGGAGUUAGUUAGACCAAAACAACAUGAAAAAUAAAAAAAUAUAUAUUUGGGGUGUUCGGGCAUCCUGAAGGUAAUACCCGGGUAUUAGGUUUUGGGGCUAAGGUAAGGUUUAAGGUUUUUGGCGUGAGGGUUAAAAUCACUGUCCAAAGCCUUUGGAGGAACUCUUUUCCAACCUUUUGGAGUCAGUUACACCAAAAAAAAAUGUAAAAUGAAAAAAAAAUAUUUGGGUUGUUCGGGGUUCCUGAAGGUAAUACCCCGGUAUUAGGUUAUGGGGCUAUGGUAAGGUUUAAGGUUUUUGGCAUUAGGGUUAAAAUCACUGUCCAAAACCUUUUUUGGAACAUGUUUCAGACCUUUUGCAGUUGGUUAAACCAAAAAAAAUGUAAAAUGAAAUAAAAAAUAUUUGGAUUGCAAAAAUAUAUCAAGGUCCAAAGAUGGUGUGCGCACUUGUCCGUGGUCAUUUACCAUUAUAAUGAAUGGGAGGCGCAGUUUCUACCAAAACACUUGCUGCAGACAAACUUCAUGACCUAUAUGAAAAAAGUCUGGACCAUGAGUGAGGGCACAGCCAGUAUAUAUCCAAAUGGCAAGUUUCUCCUCCUUUCGGUUUUGCAGAGAGAGUGGUGUGUUUGAGCCAUUGAGCGAUGGGCAGGAAAAACUUGACUUUUUCUCCUGCCUUGGGGGGGGCACUCUUUUGGUGAGAAAAAAAUUACUUCACAAAUGUGUUGAUGGCUGAACAUUGCAUCAUCCUAGAAAACUUGGAUGAGUGGCCAAAACUUCUUUGUCUGCUGUAAAAUCAAAUUGGAUUAAUAUUUUUUCCAGAUUUUUUUUUUUGUACAUCUCUUAUUUUACUUCUGCCCAGGGGCGGAUCUACUGGGGUGGCAUGGGGUGGCAGGUGCCACCCUAAAAUUAACCCUUGCCACCCCUGCUGCCACCCCAACCGGCAGCAAUGAACCGGUAGAAAAAUGUAACAGGUACGAGCGCGAAGUUCCGAUGUCCGACGACAGUGAAUGCAGCACGAGAGAGCGCGAGAGCGACACGAGACUUCUUUGGUGGGAGAGGCGCGAACUUACAGUCUAUGGGCUCGAAGCGAGAGAGAGACAGAGACAGAAAAAGGCACGAGGAAAGAGGUAAAAGCCAUUUUCAGGCAUGAAAAUCUCUCACCUUUCGGCGAAAUUCGCCGUUUUGAAGUCAAAAAAGGUGACUUACAUGAAUCGUGUAGAUCCGAGGAGAUUUUUUUUUUUUUUUUGGGGGGGGGGGGGGGGUCGGGGUCGGGGUCGGGAGAUUUAUUUAUUUAUUUUUUAAUUAUCAUGUGAUUGACUUAAUACGUAAACUGAACACUUCAGAAAUCGGCCCUUUAAAUGACACUUGGACGGUCAGCAAAUCCUCCUGGCUGCCUCGCUGACGAGAACCAAUCAUGCGCACACUCUUCACGUGUACUUGGAGUACUUGGAGAGCCUGUGGUAGCAUUGCAAAGCUGCGAGAACGAGAACCAGGACUUAUCCACGCCGGUGUUGUGCCGUAGAAUGCCCCCCUGACGAGAGCGCGGUUGAAAGUACGUAACAAGGCGAAAUAAUCGAAGUUUUCCUUACCGUUGGACGGAUUCAAAAGCGUGUGCCUUUAAUGAUUUCAUUCAGGUUAUACAGAUUAGCCGAAAACAAUAGCCCUCUGAUUCAGAAUAUUUGCUGUCCCGAAAGUUUAUUGUUCUUUACCUUGACUCACCUAUUUUUUCCGAGUUUUUUUUCCCGCCAAAUACGCCCAACUGAAUAAAACAUAAACUUAUAAAAACUUGAAACCUCUCUGUGAAACGUGCUUGUAAAUUGUGGUAAACAUCCAUGGGCUUUGUGUUCUGUUUGUGCCUGUGUGCGUGUUGCGGUGAACAGCUGUAUGAUCAGCUGAUGCACGUACCCGCGACUGCGCCCUGUGAAACCCCAUUCAAAAACUAAAGUAUUUUUAUUAUUAGCACUUCAUAGACCACAUCCCCGCCCAUCUACACCUAGGUGACCACAAUAUAUAUUUUUUAGAUAAUUCGGCACUAGUUCGGCCUGUCAAAUCAUCUGAUCAAAGCCAGUUUAUUUACUUUUAUCCACAGCGGAGAGCGCGCCCGGCGCUUAUUUUCUUUUUUGAUGAGCGCCCGGCUCAUCAGCUGGCCGAGUACGCGUCACGAUGAUGCGACUACUCGAGGACCUCGAGUUACGUGACGUUUGCUUUGUUUAGUGCAGUUCAGGCAACGUCUUAGUUAUUUGUACACGUUUGCAUCAUAGCACUCUUCUAAAGCCGCUACAAAAUAAACCCAACAGUUUAAAAACAGUAAAAAAUAGUAGACCUUCUGAGUACCUUAUAUGUCAAAUUCAAGAAAUCAUUUGGUAAGUGAAAGUACAUAUGGGUUAAGAAGUUAGAGGGGGCACUUUUAGAUAUUAAUGUUCAGUUUAUCUAGCAAGUUUGCAGCUCAUAUUAAUUUUAAUAUACCCAUUCCACAGAAAACAAGUCACAGAGAGCAGGGCAAACAUGUUCAAGAGAUUAAAACAGAAUACCCUGGAUGCAUUUCUGGCAAAGAAAAAGAAAGAAAUUGACAAAGAGGAAGAUAGUAAACAUGAAACCAAGGAGGAUGGAAGAGAGAAUAGGGAAAGUUAGGUGUAGCAGAGAGAGGAGAGUCAUUCAGAGAUGGAAGGGGAGCAGAGGCACACGG